CCCUUAGAUGCUCUGGGCCGCACGCGCGCUACACUGGUCGAUGCAACGAGUUUCUUUCCUUGGCCGACAGGCCUGGGCAAUCUUUGAACAUCGAUCGUGAUCGGGAUAGAUUCUUGUAAUUUUUGAUCUUAAACGAGGAAUUCCUAGUAAACGCAAGUCAUAAGCUUGCGUUGAUUACGUCCCUGCCCUUUGUACACACCGCCCGUCGCUACUACCGAUUGAACGUUUUAGUGAGGUAUUUGGACUGGACCUUCGGAGGUUCGCGCCUCCGUUGCUGUUCGGGAAGACUCCCAAACUUGAGCGUUUAGAGGAAGUAAAAGUCGUAACA
Molecule: ribosomal RNA, 328 nt
Filed under: uncultured eukaryote
Lineage: Eukaryota
Description: partial 18S ribosomal RNA
Rfam family: Eukaryotic small subunit ribosomal RNA
Source: RNAcentral